UUCCACUCUGUCCUUAUGCUAAGCAAUCCCAGUUUGUUCUGUCUUUCCUUGUAGGUUACGACUGAUAUAGAUUUUUUUUUGCUAUCAACUGCUCAUUCCUCUGUGCUUGAUCUCAGACUUGUAAUCAGAGUUUCUACCAGCAGACAGGAAAGGCACAUAGCAGACACCUCCUGACCUCCCUGUCUCACAUGGUGACUCAUUUCCAGGGAAAGAGGGAUAAAGAAAGGAAAGACCAUUAAGGCAAUACUCAAUCCUUUGCUAUUAUUCCAGCUUAGUGGGAAACAAGUGAAGGCUACGUAAAGGUAAAGACAAGGGUCUUGAUUUAUCCUGAUAACCCUUUCCCAAACUCCUGCUCUUGGUCCUGUUGCAGAUGUGGCUGGGCCAGCAGAGUGGUGAUCUGAGCCAGAGUGCCUGCUCUUAUGUUCUGACUUUUCAUGACAAUAGAAAAAAUAACCAACAACAUGGUGCUUUAAAUCACUAACUUGCCCUCACACUCCCUUCUGAGGCACAUAAACAGGAUGUCACUACCUGCAUUUACAGUUUGUGAAAAUGGGAUAAAAUUGUUCCAUGAGAUGCUUCAUCCCUUGAAGCUGCGUGGUUCUCACCUGUGCACGUGUCAGAACUGGCCAAGGAAGAUUGGGGUCCUUUCAUUGAAGGCCUGAAGUGAAAAAAAACCAGGACAGAGCAGCAGAAAUGGGAGCUCUGCAAACACAAGGCGUUGCCAUAGGAUGAACUCAUGUCUUGCCAGCGUGCCCAUAAGCCAGAGAUCUUGUCUCACGUUGCCAUAUGUCACACACUAUACAUAAAUCAGUUUGGUUUUGGCUGCCUACUACUUCUCUUAUAAUCUCUUGUGUAUCUUUCCAUGUGUAAUUAUGAGUCAAGCCCUUGGAGGAGAGGGAAAGUCAUUAAAUGUCCUGCUGGCAUUUCCUUUGAGAAGAAACUGCAUCUGCCACUGGAGAUGCUGGAGGAAGAUGUGGGAAAAGGAGAAGUAAAAAGAGGAGAAGCUACACCUCCAGGUUAAAAUCCAAAGGGUUUGAGUCCUCACUUUGGUUCCAUGCUGAAAAAGAAAAAGGCUGAGGAGAGGCAGCUCAUGGUGCUGAUGUCCCAGGUGCCACAGUGGGUGAAUGUUGUGGGCUGUGCCUGAGGAGAUCUCCUGCUCCUGGACUGGUUAUCAGGUGUUCCAGUGGUUUUCCAAGGGAAAGGAAGAGGAAUAGCCAAAUCAGUUGUGGAUAGAUAGUCAGGACUCACCUUGCCUAAUUGCAGAUGUCUGUAUGGAAGAUGUCUGCCCCUGAGCCCUGCCAGGCAGGGCUCGUUUCAUCACUCAGAUGCAGGUAUUGAAUUAAAGAGGCUCUGAGAAAUCCAGUUUCUCUCCCCUGAUGAGAAGAGGAGC
Molecule: long non-coding RNA, 1390 nt
Organism: Passer domesticus (house sparrow)
Lineage: Eukaryota; Metazoa; Chordata; Aves; Passeriformes; Passeridae
Exons: 3
Source: RefSeq, a predicted model, not a curated record